CAGAGUGUCAGAAGAGAGAUUGGAAGAUGCGGUUUGUGAAGUGUGUUGAAUGGCUUAAAGGCUAAAAGUCAGUAUAGCCCACUUGAUUCUCUGAAACUGAACCACUGGGUGCAUGGCAUGGGUGCCCUUAAUCAUUAAUUAAUAUAUUCAACCUUUUUCUCUGCUGCUGUUUGGAUCAACUGACUUCAAACUUCCAGUCAGUCAGGUGAGUCAUUACUGGUGCGGUUUCUCCACCGCCAAUCCCAUGCAAUUUAUCCCUAUUCGGUUAAAAUCAAAUUAAUUGAUUGAAUUAAUUGAUUAAUCAAUCAAUCUAAUUCGAUUAAAAGUCAAUUAAUAUUUUUUUAAAAUUUAAUUAUUAAUUAAUUCAAUUCAAAAUCGAAUAAUUAAUCGAAAAAAAUGAUAUAUGUAUAGGCCUAAAUCUGUCCGAGGCCCAACAACCAGAAUAAAACCAAAUAUUAAACCAAAAAUCCAUAUAAAUAAAAAACCAAAUAAUAAAAAGUCCAAUUAUUAGUCCAUUACAUAUCAGACCCAAUAGCGCAGUUACAAGCCCAUUUACAAAACAACCUAGCCCAAUCAAAUAACCCAAUGCCUAAAAGUCCCAGUGGCCCAAAACCUAGACCUAGGUUCAGCCAAACAGAAUCCUAGGGUUUCCUUAGCACCGCAGCCCCUAGCCUCCAGCGUCGUACAACCUCCAGCAUUUCAGCAGCCUCCAGCACAUCGCCUCCGUAUGCCAGCACACAGCCCUCGUACACGCGCCACACACACCCCGUACUUGUAAAAAGUGACGAACGCACAACAAAACAAAAACAAAAAAAGAAUACUGUAUUUUUUUUAUUAUCUUUAUCAUUUUUAUCCCUUCGGCUAUAAAGCCAAGAGAUUUGAUCGUUUACAAUGUUACGCACACUGGAUAUUAAAGAAAAAUCAAGCCAAAAGUUAUUAAAAGGUGAUUUCCAAAUCUGUUUUUUUUCGUUUCUUUUGAGGGGUUUUGCAAUCUUAGCGUGAACACAUAAAGGGAACCCGAAUCGACGCCGAUGAAAGCCCAAGCAUCUUAGAAAUGCAAAGAUGCGGGUGAGGGUCGAAUGGCGUUAAAAUUUUGUUUAAAUCUUCAAAGUUUGUUUCGUUUUUUUUGAAAGAACAGCAUAAGAUUCAAGUUUUUUUUUUAAAAAAAAAAGAAAGGGAAAAGAGGGAGCGAGGUUACCAGAUCUUCAUGGUCGAGGCCUCCGUUGGCAAGAUCUGGCCGUCAUCCGCACCAUUAGCCAUCAAGUUGAUGGUGGUUUGGUGGCUGCGUAAUUGAACAAACCCUAAGAGAGCAAGGGUUCUUUUUCUUCAUCUGCGAUUUCGGAAAGAAAAGGAAUGGGAAUAGUGACCUUUAGCACCAGAAUAAAAAACGGCGCCGUUUCAGCGAUAAGGAUUCGCAUGUCAACCCGAUGGGCAGGCCGGAUCUGCGCCCUUUUAUUCAAAAUGGGGAAUUUGCGCGUUAGGUCCUCCCUGUUCAUGCGAGUCUUCUAUUGCACCUUAUGCAUUUUACUUUGUUUUUAAAAUUUGACUCUGUAAUUUGCUCGCGUUUGCACUUUGGUCUGUGCCUCUGCGCUGCGUUUUAGAACUUGGGUUAUUUCCAGUUCUAGUCCCUAUACGUUUGCGCGCAUCGCACAUUGGUCCUCUUUUGAUUAUUUUAUUUGUAAAUUAACCUUUUUUUUGUUUUAAUUUUACUUUAAUUAGUUUUUUUAUUUUCUAAAAUAGAUUCAUUUCAUAGUUUUUUUUUACUCUUAUUAACUUAUGUGUACAUUUUGAAUUACCUCGAUAAAUUUUUUUAUUAUUGUCAAUUUGUUUAUGCCAUAUCAUCUUCACAUUUUGUAAACUAUUUUUUUAUAUAAAUGCUUUUUCUUUACAUUGUUGUAUAUAUAAUAUUUGUAAUAAAGUUAAUUUUAGUCUAUGUACGUUAUUAAUGUUAUGUUAUUUCAUACAUAUAAUGGUUUUGAC
This 1980-nucleotide long non-coding RNA is filed under the name Gossypium barbadense (sea-island cotton). Its description in RNAcentral is "long non-coding RNA (GBAR_LNC007729)". Lineage: Eukaryota; Viridiplantae; Streptophyta; Magnoliopsida; Malvales; Malvaceae. The record is from RNAcentral.